RNAcentral lists this long non-coding RNA (1266 nucleotides) under Dromaius novaehollandiae (emu). RNAcentral's name for it is "lncRNA (ENSDNVG00000008144.1)". Lineage: Eukaryota; Metazoa; Chordata; Aves; Casuariiformes; Dromaiidae. The record is from RNAcentral.
AAAGGUCAUCCCUCCCCAUAGCAACGAGGGGGCCUGACAGGCCCUAAAUGCACUUUGAGAAUGUAAUCGGGACAUUGUUUUUGCAACCCGCUACUUCCAGGAAGACUCUGAAGUGGGCAGAGUCAUGGGCCUGCCUUUAAAUAGCCAGAGCUUCCUGUCAGCUAGGUACUCCAAACUUCUUUCCCUUGCUUCCCAACGUCUGCGUUCAACGUGGCCUUCGGGUAACAAUGCUGAGGAAGACGGCAAUCCUUUCAGUGCUGCUGGCUCUGAUUCUGGUUGAUCUGCUAAAGGCACAAGGUACCCCUGUUACCCCUCUGCUUGGGGCAACAAGUGUGGAACAAAGCAGAGAUUCCAGUGUGCAACCAAGCACAGAGUCCCCCCUGGACUACAGCAGAGACCCAUACAAAGAGGAAGGCAUGGAACAAAUUGGGAACACUGGAGUGCAAGAAGGUGGACAGGCCACUUGGGAGCUGAGCGGAGAGCCAAGUACUGACUCUACCCCCAACCCAAGUGUGGAGCCAAGCAAAGAGUCAACCACCGAAAUAUCUGGUAAGAUCCAUUUUGUCUUUGAUUUUUCACAUGUUAUUGUUAUCUAACUUUACUUUGUUACCCCAGCACUCCCACCUUACCUGCACUACUGGGGGAAGACACGCACAAAAUAACGAUUUUCCUCACCAAUUAGCCUCUGCUCUGAAAAGAAGGGUCAAAUUAUCCCGUAUAGAAAAAAACAAAGACGCAGAAUUUCAAUGACUACAAACCAGCAGGGGCUCUCUCAUACCAUUCAUCCACAUGGAGUUCUUUUUCACCUGCAAAGGGACUGUGCAAUAUGUCAUCUAGACUAAGAUCUCAUCUCGAAUAGCAUUAUGUCUGAAGGCUCUACCCUUUUCUAUUAGGGCUAUCGGCAGCUUCUCUAGAGUUCACAACAGGGCACAGAAUAUGGAAGAAGGACACACCAAAGAAUUACUUUUCCUGUCUUCAUCAAUUUCCACCAUGCUUUCAGUCUGGUUAGCAAGACAAUCUGACACUGACUUUACCUUCCAUGUUCCUUUAUUGUUGUUUAUAUCAGCUGCCUUAUCUUUUGAAAAUGCUUACUCUUGAAAACAUUUCCUUUGAAAUCUUCCUGCUUUGUUUCUCCCACGAUUGCUAAGCCCCUCUCCUCACCUACUUCAGUGGCAUUUUAGAGCCUACGUAUGUGCUAGGAGAACUGGAAGUUGUAACAUCGUGCCCAUUGCAGUUUCAGAAAUUGGAGAAAUCCCUGGAAUUAGU